AGAAUACUUUGUACUGGAUAUUGCAAUGAACUUUAUUUCUGCUGCGUUGAUCAAGUUUUUCUUUUAUCUUGUGAGAAUAUGUUGAUAACUUACUACAAAUAGUAGAUCACAGAAAUUUUGGACUUUUAAUCCUUUUCUUGUGUAAUUUAUAUUUAAACGUUUGAUCCCUUCAUAUCAGUGCAUCAAGUUAGAGUCUAGAAAAAU
Molecule: unclassified non-coding RNA, 204 nt
Filed under: Hevea brasiliensis (rubber tree)
Lineage: Eukaryota; Viridiplantae; Streptophyta; Magnoliopsida; Malpighiales; Euphorbiaceae
Source: RNAcentral